This is a long non-coding RNA of Carya illinoinensis, 1114 nucleotides long. RefSeq lists it as uncharacterized. NCBI's taxonomy places the organism in Eukaryota, Viridiplantae, Streptophyta, Magnoliopsida, Fagales, Juglandaceae. The record is from RefSeq and is a predicted model, not a curated record. The transcript is spliced from 2 exons.
GUGUUUUUAAUUGUCUUGUAUUUAUUUUAUUGUACCAUUUUUAUUUUAUUGGACCCUCUAUUUUUUUACUGGGCUUAUUUUGGCCAUUUAAGUGUGUUUUUUUUCUGUUUUGGGCCUAGCCCAUUCACUGCCACUAUAGCCCAGCCCGAGAACUCCACUCAACUAUACCUAUACGGUGCGUUUUAAGAAAAUUAGGUUUACACUUUACAGAACAAUUUUUUUUUUCCUUCUCUCCUCAUUCGGUCCCGUGCGGCGUGCCUCUCCCUUCUCUCCUCAUUCGGUCCCUGCCCUGCGCCGACUCCCAAUCUCCCCUCUCUAGUCUCUUCUUCUUCUUCUUCCAUUCUUCUUCUUGAAUCUUCACUCUUCAGACUUCAGUUUCUUCCUCUCCUCACAGUCACCGUCGUGCCUCACUGCCCUGGUGCAUCUCGGUGGGUCUUCCACGCACAGCCCUCGUCGACGCCGUGAACCUCCCCUCACGCAGCCCCUCUCACGGACCCAUGGUAAUUUUUAGUUGAAAAUACAGGAUUGACCAAGCUGAGUAAAUAGGAAUGCAGGAGUUGAGAUGAUUUAUUUGUUUUCUGCUUAUUUUUUCUGGAGAAGUUGAAAACUCGGGAUUGACUAGGCUGAGUAAAUAAGACGGCAUGAGAUGGGAUGAUUUGUUUGUUUCUUGUUGUAUGGUUCAACCUCUAGUCUAGAGGAAACAUGGUGGUUCUAUUUGUUAGACUGUUCAUCUGCAUUUUGGUGGAAGGUCUCUAUGUUCUGUUCUUAAGAGGCGCGCGCAGUCUUGUGCUUUCUGUCUUCUCUGGGUUGUUUUUGCCCAAUUCUUUUGUUUCUUUAAUCCGUGUGGUGGUCAAGUUUGGAACAAGUUUGAGGGUUCUUUUAGCAAGGCUGUUGAUCUGCGGUUUAGAGCAAGGUCUCAGUGUUUUGUUCCUACUAGAGCCAAUUAUGUAGUCAGGAGUACCUUUGAACAACAAUUCGAUGGAGAUUUUUUAUGUAAAAGAUGUUACAAGUUUUAUAAUUCAAGAAUCUUACAAGUUUUAUAAUUCUUGAAUUUAUAAUUACAAUAGCAUAUUAACAAUUUAUAAGGCAGAUUUUUCGUAACAGAUUUUUUUUA